AGAGUUUGAUCCUGGCUCAGAUUGAACGCUGGCGGCAUGCCUUACACAUGCAAGUCGAACGGUAACGCGGGGCAACCUGGCGACGAGUGGCGAACGGGUGAGUAAUGCAUCGGAACGUGCCCAAUAGUGGGGGAUAGCCCGGCGAAAGCCGGAUUAAUACCGCAUACGUCCUACGGGAGAAAGCAGGGGACCUUCGGGCCUUGCGCUAAUAGAUGAGCCUAAGUCGGAUUAGCUAGUUGGUGGGGUAAAGGCCUACCAAGGCGACGAUCUGUAGCGGGUCUGAGAGGAUGAUCCGCCACACUGGGACUGAGACACGGCCCAGACUCCUACGGGAGGCAGCAGUGGGGAAUAUUGGACAAUGGGGGGAACCCUGAUCCAGCCAUGCCGCGUGUGUGAAGAAGGCCUUUCGGUUGUAAAGCACUUUAAGCGGGGAGGAGGCUACUUAGAUUAAUACUCUAGGAUAGUGGACGUUACCCGCAGAAUAAGCACCGGCUAACUCUGUGCCAGCAGCCGCGGUAAUA
This 521-nucleotide ribosomal RNA is filed under the name uncultured bacterium. RNAcentral describes it as "bacterial SSU rRNA". It matches the Rfam family "Bacterial small subunit ribosomal RNA", at positions 8 to 525 of the family's 1533-position model. The record is from RNAcentral.